AGGAUAAUAGUUAAUUAUAACAUUUAAUUUGCAUUUAAAAAAUAUUGCCGAGCAAUUUAUCUUA
RNAcentral lists this transfer RNA (64 nucleotides) under Ernobius pini. RNAcentral describes it as "tRNA-Ala". Lineage: Eukaryota; Metazoa; Arthropoda; Insecta; Coleoptera; Ptinidae. The record is from RNAcentral.